RNAcentral lists this non-coding RNA (44 nucleotides) under Schistosoma mattheei. The record is from RNAcentral. Lineage: Eukaryota; Metazoa; Platyhelminthes; Trematoda; Strigeidida; Schistosomatidae.
CUCAGAUGAUGAGUGCCAAAUAGGACGAAACAUGCGUUCUGGAU